GUCGAUACUGUGGUGCAUCUGGGUAGCUCAAAACAAUGCAAUAUUCAAAGGCCAUGUUCCAAAAUAAAGAAUACUGCCGAAUCAGCCCAAAUCUUACAAGAAAACUUCGAAAAAUCAGGCCUGGCAAUUUGGGAAAAACAAGGAAUCAUUAGCUUCUCUUACCUGGGCAGCACUAGAGAAAGGCAAACUCAAAAUUAACGUUGAUGGUGCUCUCGAGGAGGACACGAUGGACGGCACUGCAGCGUGCAUAUGUGGGGACUUCACCGGGAGCCUCGUUGCCAGGCACACCAGGUCGGUCAAAGCCUCCACUCC
This 312-nucleotide long non-coding RNA is filed under the name Eucalyptus grandis. RNAcentral describes it as "long non-coding RNA (EGRA_LNC001336)". The record is from RNAcentral. Lineage: Eukaryota; Viridiplantae; Streptophyta; Magnoliopsida; Myrtales; Myrtaceae.